RNAcentral lists this ribosomal RNA (402 nucleotides) under uncultured bacterium. RNAcentral describes it as "bacterial SSU rRNA". It matches the Rfam family "Bacterial small subunit ribosomal RNA", at positions 490 to 890 of the family's 1533-position model. The record is from RNAcentral.
GCACCGGCUAACUUCGUGCCAGCAGCCGCGGUAAUACGAAGGGUGCAAGCGUUACUCGGAAUUACUGGGCGUAAAGCGUGCGUAGGUGGUCGUUUAAGUCCGUUGUGAAAGCCCUGGGCUCAACCUGGGAACUGCAGUGGAUACUGGGCGACUAGAGUGUGGUAGAGGGUAGCGGAAUUCCUGGUGUAGCAGUGAAAUGCGUAGAGAUCAGGAGGAACAUCCAUGGCGAAGGCAGCUACCUGGACCAACACUGACACUGAGGCACGAAAGCGUGGGGAGCAAACAGGAUUAGAUACCCUGGUAGUCCACGCCCUAAACGAUGCGAACUGGAUGUUGGGUGCAAUUUGGCACGCAGUAUCGAAGCUAACGCGUUAAGUUCGCCGCCUGGGGAGUACGGUCGCA